GGGGAAUCUUGCGCAAUGGGGGCAACCCUGACGCAGCCAUGCCGCGUGAAUGAUGAAGGCCUUAGGGUUGUAAAGUUCUUUUGCCCGUGACGAUGAUGACGGUAACGGGAGAAUAAGCUCCGGCUAACUUCGUGCCAGCAGCCGCGGUAAUACGAAGGGGGCUAGCGUUGUUCGGAAUUACUGGGCGUAAAGCGCGCGCAGGCGGUUUUGUAAGUUAGGGGUGAAAUCCCCGGGCUCAACCCGGGAAUGGCCUUUAAGACUGCAAGGCUAGAGGACGAGAGAGGUGAGUGGAAUUCCCAGUGUAGAGGUGAAAUUCGUAGAUAUUGGGAAGAACACCGGUGGCGAAGGCGGCUCACUGGCUCGUUUCUGACGCUGAGGCGCGAAAGCGUGGGGAGCAAAC
RNAcentral lists this ribosomal RNA (400 nucleotides) under uncultured bacterium. RNAcentral describes it as "bacterial SSU rRNA". It matches the Rfam family "Bacterial small subunit ribosomal RNA", at positions 356 to 773 of the family's 1533-position model. The record is from RNAcentral.